GCCAGGCACAGUGGAGCAUGCCUCUAGUCCCAGCUACUUGGGAGGCUGAGGCUGGAGGAUCGCUUGAGUCCAGGAGUUCUGGGCUGUAGUAUGCUAUGCUGAUGGAGUGUCUGCACUAAGUUCAGCAUCAAUAUGGUGACCUUCUGGGUGCCGGGGACCACCAGGUUGCCUAAGGAGGAGUGAACUGGCCCAGGUCGGAAACAGAGCAGGUCAAAACUCCUGUGCUGAUCAGUAGUGGGAUCCUACCUGUGAAUAGCCACUGCAUUCCAGCCUGGGCAACAUAGCGAGACCCUGUCUCU
Aotus nancymaae (Ma's night monkey) is the source of this 299-nucleotide unclassified non-coding RNA. It matches the Rfam family "Metazoan signal recognition particle RNA". From Rfam's summary of the family: The signal recognition particle (SRP) is a universally conserved ribonucleoprotein. The record is from Ensembl. NCBI's taxonomy places the organism in Eukaryota, Metazoa, Chordata, Mammalia, Primates, Aotidae.